Molecule: transfer RNA, 73 nt
Filed under: Salmo salar (Atlantic salmon)
Lineage: Eukaryota; Metazoa; Chordata; Actinopteri; Salmoniformes; Salmonidae
Rfam family: tRNA
About the family: Transfer RNA (tRNA) molecules are approximately 80 nucleotides in length. Their secondary structure includes four short double-helical elements and three loops (D, anti-codon, and T loops). Further hydrogen bonds mediate the characteristic L-shaped molecular structure. tRNAs have two regions of fundamental functional importance: the anti-codon, which is responsible for specific mRNA codon recognition, and the 3' end, to which the tRNAs corresponding amino acid is attached (by aminoacyl-tRNA synthetases). tRNAs cope with the degeneracy of the genetic code in two manners: having more than one tRNA (with a specific anti-codon) for a particular amino acid; and 'wobble' base-pairing, i.e. permitting non-standard base-pairing at the 3rd anti-codon position.
Source: Rfam by way of RNAcentral
GGCGGCGUGGCUCAGUUGGUAGAGCGUGGUGUUUGCAAUGCCAGGUUCGUGGUUUCAAUUCCCAUUGGACUCA